RNAcentral lists this unclassified non-coding RNA (515 nucleotides) under Sordariomycetes sp. 6 KO-2013. RNAcentral's name for it is "partial contains ITS1, 5.8S rRNA and ITS2". The stretch from base 168 to 321 matches the Rfam family "5.8S ribosomal RNA". The record is from RNAcentral. Lineage: Eukaryota; Fungi; Ascomycota; Sordariomycetes.
AGGGAUCAUUACAGAGUUGCAAAACUCCCAAACCAUUGUGAACGUUACCCGUAACCGUUGCUUCGGCGGGCGGCCCCCCGGGGCCGCAGCCCUCACAGGCGCCCGCCGGACGACAAAUAACUCUUGUUCUUUACUGGCCUCUCUGAGUAUUUAUACAAAUAAGUUAAAACUUUCAACAACGGAUCUCUUGGUUCUGGCAUCGAUGAAGAACGCAGCGAAAUGCGAUAAGUAAUGUGAAUUGCAGAAUUCAGUGAAUCAUCGAAUCUUUGAACGCACAUUGCGCCCGCUAGUAUUCUGGCGGGCAUGCCUGUUCGAGCGUCAUUUCAACCAUCAAGCCCCCGGGCUUGCGUUGGGGCCCUGCGGCUGCCGCAGGCCCUGAAAAACAGUGGCGGGCUCGCUGUCACACCGAGCGUAGUAUUGUAUCUCGCUUUGGCCGUGCGGCGGGUGCCAGCCGUUAAACACCCCCCUUCCACAAGGUUGACCUCGGAUCUGGUAGGAAUACCCGCUGAACUUAA